RNAcentral lists this ribosomal RNA (497 nucleotides) under uncultured bacterium. RNAcentral describes it as "partial 16S ribosomal RNA". It matches the Rfam family "Bacterial small subunit ribosomal RNA", at positions 28 to 507 of the family's 1533-position model. The record is from RNAcentral.
GAUGAACGCUUUCUUCUUUCCUAAUACCUGCAAGUCGAGCGAACGGACGAGAAGCUUGCUUCUCUGAUGUUAGCGGCGGACGGGUGAGUAACACGUGGAUAACCUACCUAUAAGACUGGGAUAACUUCGGGAAACCGGAGCUAAUACCGGAUAAUAUUUUGAACCGCAUGGUUCAAAAGUGAAAGACGGUCUUGCUGUCACUUAUAGAUGGAUCCGCGCUGCAUUAGCUAGUUGGUAAGGUAACGGCUUACCAAGGCAACGAUGCAUAGCCGACCUGAGAGGGUGAUCGGCCACACUGGAACUGAGACACGGUCCAGACUCCUACGGGAGGCAGCAGUAGGGAAUCUUCCGCAAUGGGCGAAAGCCUGACGGAGCAACGCCGCGUGAGUGAUGAAGGUCUUCGGAUCGUAAAAAUCUGUUAUUAGGGAAGAACAUAUGUGUAAGUAACUGUGCACAUCUUGACGGUACCUAAUCAGAAAGCCAAGGCUAACUACGUG